CAGAAAUCAGGUUUGCUCGUCCACUUAAGGACAGUCCACGAAGGUCGUAAAGAUUAUGAAUGCCAUGAGUGCGAAAAAAAAUUUACGCAAAAAGUGUAUUUGCUCAAACAUCAAAGAAGAGUUCAUUAAGGUCGUAAUAAUAUAUUUCGUAACAAGUGCGCGAAGCAGUUACAAACCCCAUGUUUCGCGUGCUCGAAUAAAGGGUGAUUGACAUAUACAUAGAUACUGGUUGAAUAUGCAUAGAUACUGGUACACUAGCCGGUAAAAAUAUCUUUCCAGACUGAAGGUUGCUGCGUCAAAAAAUUCGGAGUCAAUCUAUGUAAUCGAAAAAGUUCAGGGUUAUAGACGAACAAACCUUAAGUCGCGGAGCAGACGUCAUUAGACACGUGCGCGCUGAAGGCUUGAAGCUGGAGACUAAUUAAUUAAUAAUUAAGAAAGAGUCUAUUCUACGGGAAAUAUCACCGAGUUGCAGCCCGUCGUUAUCGUGUAUAUGUUGAUAAUAAAAAUUAUCAAGAAAAUCUACUUGAUCCUAUCGAACACCAAUACUCUAGCACUAUUCGUAGCCAGAUUCAUAGAUGGUUCUUCACACAGACUUGGAGAGACAGCGUCGUGCCACGACCAAUUCAGCCCAUAAGAACUGAUGAUGAUUAAAGCGGUGGCCAAGUUCGACUUUGCACCACUGUUGCCAGCAAAACCUACUAAAUCUGCAAGUUGGAUCUUCAAAACACUCGUCAUAUCCUUUAGAAACAAAAUCAGCAGAAGAGGCACAAAAACUUGCAGCUCAAGCAGUUUUAAAUGCAGUACUGAAUAAAGAUGAUGAUCCCCUUGUGGUUAAGUUUAAGUGAAGAAUAUUAUCAAAAAUACUAUGAAACACUUCCAACCAAUUGGGUCAAGUUAGUUGAGCAAGCUGUUGCCGUUGAUGUUGGAGCCAACAAUAUGAUCAUACUCAGU
Long non-coding RNA from Trichogramma pretiosum, 951 nucleotides. RefSeq lists it as uncharacterized. The transcript is spliced from 3 exons. The record is from RefSeq and is a predicted model, not a curated record. NCBI's taxonomy places the organism in Eukaryota, Metazoa, Arthropoda, Insecta, Hymenoptera, Trichogrammatidae.